AACCUGGUUGAUCCUGCCAGUAGUCAUACGCUCGUCUCAAAGAUUAAGCCAUGCAUGUGUAAGUUCAAUGAUUUGACCAAAAAACUGCGAAUGGCUCAUUAUAUCAGUUAUAGUUUAUUUGAUAGUCCCUUACUACUUGGAUACCCGUAGUAAUUCUAGAGCUAAUACAUGCGUAAACACUCGACCUUUGGAAGAGUGGUAUUUAUUAGAUUGAAACCAACCCGUUUCGGCGGUGUCCUGGUGAUUCAUAAUAACUUUUCGGAUUGCAUUGCAACAUUUCAUUUCAAGUUUCUGCCCUAUCAGCUUUGACGGUAGUGUAUUGGACUACCGUGGCCUUUAACGGGUAACGGAGGAUUAGGGU
This 361-nucleotide ribosomal RNA is filed under the name uncultured marine eukaryote. RNAcentral describes it as "SSU rRNA". It matches the Rfam family "Eukaryotic small subunit ribosomal RNA", at positions 1 to 376 of the family's 1831-position model. The record is from RNAcentral.